AUGUCUGCAAGGGACGUGGAAGAUGCAAUAAGCAUCCUUGCAGACCAAGAAUGGUGGAAAGGAUCAAUAAUGGUCUUACAGAAAUAUACAAAUCCAUUCCAGUCAAACUCGGCCCAUAUGCCUGCACUGAAAUCAGCUAACAUAAAUUUUUUAAGCUGCAGCAGCCCAUCAGCUUACUUCAUAUGUCCCGGGCUGAUCAGUUGCAGGCACA
Non-coding RNA from Vicia faba (fava bean), 211 nucleotides. Lineage: Eukaryota; Viridiplantae; Streptophyta; Magnoliopsida; Fabales; Fabaceae. The record is from the annotation of a GenBank genome assembly.